GUGAGUCAGAGGUAUGAAAAAUUUA
Molecule: non-coding RNA, 25 nt
Filed under: Cricetulus griseus (Chinese hamster)
Lineage: Eukaryota; Metazoa; Chordata; Mammalia; Rodentia; Cricetidae
Source: RNAcentral